This 305-nucleotide ribosomal RNA is filed under the name uncultured bacterium. RNAcentral's name for it is "bacterial SSU rRNA". It matches the Rfam family "Bacterial small subunit ribosomal RNA", at positions 334 to 656 of the family's 1533-position model. The record is from RNAcentral.
UUCUCCUACGGGAGGCAGCAGUGGGGAAUAUUGCACAAUGGGGGAAACCCUGAUGCAGCGACGCCGCGUGAGUGAAGAAGUAUUUCGGUAUGUAAAGCUCUAUCAGCAGGGAAGAUAAUGACGGUACCUGACUAAGAAGCCCCGGCUAACUACGUGCCAGCAGCCGCGGUAAUACGUAGGGGGCAAGCGUUAUCCGGAUUCACUGGGCGUAAAGGGAGCGCAGGCGGCACGGCAAGUCUGGUGUGAAAACCCGGGGCUCAACCCCGGGACUGCAUUGGAAACUGCCGGGCUGGAGUGUCGGAGGG